UACAGAGGGUGCAAGCGUUAAUCGGAAUCACUGGGCUUAAAGCGUUCGUAGGCGGGCUUGCAGGCGCGUUGUGAAAGCCCCCGGCUCAACCGGGGAACUGCUUCGCGAACCGCAAGUCUUGAGUCAAGUAGGGCGGUCGGAACGAUAGGUGGAGCGGUGAAAUGCGUAGAUAUCUAUCGGAACGCCAAAGGUGAAGACAGGCCGCUGGGCUUGUACUGACGCUGAGGAACGAAAGCGUGGGGAGCAAACGGG
RNAcentral lists this ribosomal RNA (252 nucleotides) under uncultured bacterium. RNAcentral describes it as "partial 16S ribosomal RNA". It matches the Rfam family "Bacterial small subunit ribosomal RNA", at positions 524 to 776 of the family's 1533-position model. The record is from RNAcentral.